Molecule: ribosomal RNA, 466 nt
Filed under: Streptococcus sp. oral taxon 070
Lineage: Bacteria; Bacillati; Bacillota; Bacilli; Lactobacillales; Streptococcaceae
Description: bacterial SSU rRNA
Rfam family: Bacterial small subunit ribosomal RNA
Source: RNAcentral
GACGAACGCUGGCGGCGUGCCUAAUACAUGCAAGUAGAACGCUGAAGCUUGGUGCUUGCACCGAGCGGAUGAGUUGCGAACGGGUGAGUAACGCGUAGGUAACCUGCCUGGUAGCGGGGGAUAACUAUUGGAAACGAUAGCUAAUACCGCAUAAAAUGGAUUAUCGCAUGAUAAUCGAUUGAAAGGUGCAAAUGCAUCACUACCAGAUGGACCUGCGUUGUAUUAGCUAGUUGGUGGGGUAACGGCUCACCAAGGCAACGAUACAUAGCCGACCUGAGAGGGUGAUCGGCCACACUGGGACUGAGACACGGCCCAGACUCCUACGGGAGGCAGCAGUAGGGAAUCUUCGGCAAUGGACGGAAGUCUGACCGAGCAACGCCGCGUGAGUGAAGAAGGUUUUCGGAUCGUAAAGCUCUGUUGUAAGAGAAGAAACGAGUGUGAGAAGUGGAAAAGUUCCACCACUGGG